Small nucleolar RNA from Ochotona princeps (American pika), 87 nucleotides. Its record names the gene SNORD14. It matches the Rfam family "Small nucleolar RNA SNORD14". From Rfam's summary of the family: U14 small nucleolar RNA (U14 snoRNA) is required for early cleavages of eukaryotic precursor rRNAs. In yeasts, this molecule possess a stem-loop region (known as the Y-domain) which is essential for function. NCBI's taxonomy places the organism in Eukaryota, Metazoa, Chordata, Mammalia, Lagomorpha, Ochotonidae. The record is from Ensembl.
CCGCUGUGAUGAUUGACUCCAAAACCAUUCGUAGUUUCCACCAGAAUAAUCCUUGUUGGCAAGUUCCUUCCUUGGAUGUCUGAGCGA